RNAcentral lists this ribosomal RNA (497 nucleotides) under uncultured bacterium. RNAcentral's name for it is "partial 16S ribosomal RNA". It matches the Rfam family "Bacterial small subunit ribosomal RNA", at positions 28 to 507 of the family's 1533-position model. The record is from RNAcentral.
GAUGAACGCUGGCGGCGUGCCUAAUACAUGCAAGUCGAGCGAACAGACGAGGAGCUUGCUCCUCUGACGUUAGCGGCGGACGGGUGAGUAACACGUGGAUAACCUACCUAUAAGACUGGGAUAACUUCGGGAAACCGGAGCUAAUACCGGAUAAUAUAUUGAACCGCGUGGUUCAAUAGUGAAAGACGGUUUUGCUGUCACUUAUAGAUGGAUCCGCGCCGCAUUAGCUAGUUGGUAAGGUAACGGCUUACCAAGGCAACGAUGCGUAGCCGACCUGAGAGGGUGAUAGGCCACACUGGAACUGAGACACGGUCCAGACUCCUACGGGAGGCAGCAGUAGGGAAUCUUCCGCAAUGGGCGAAAGCCUGACGGAGCAACGCCGCGUGAGUGAUGAAGGUCUUCGGAUCGUAAAACUCUGUUAUUAGGGAAGAACAAAUGUGUAAGUAACUAUGCACGUCUUGACGGUACCUAAUCAGAAAGCCACGGCUAACUACGUG